UGGGGAAUCUUGCGCAAUGGGCGAAAGCCUGACGCAGCGACGCCGCGUGAGCGAUGAAGGCCUUCGGGUUGUAAAGCUCUGUGGAGGGGGACGAAUAAGGGCACGCUAAUACCGUGUUUGAUGACGGUACCCCUUUAGCAAGCACCGGCUAACUCUGUGCCAGCAGCCGCGGUAAGACAGAGGGUGCAAACGUUGUUCGGAAUUACUGGGCGUAAAGCGCGUGUAGGCUGUUCGGAAAGUCGGAUGUGAAAGCCCCGGGCUCAACCCGGGAAGUGCAUUCGAAACUUCCGAGCUGGAGUCCUGGAGAGGAAGGCGGAAUUCUCGGUGUAGAGGUGAAAUUCGUAGAUAUCGAGAGGAACACCGGUGGCGAAGGCGGCCUUCUGGACAGUGACUGACGCUGAGACGCGAAAGCGUGGGGAGCAAACA
RNAcentral lists this ribosomal RNA (426 nucleotides) under uncultured bacterium. Its description in RNAcentral is "bacterial SSU rRNA". It matches the Rfam family "Bacterial small subunit ribosomal RNA", at positions 355 to 774 of the family's 1533-position model. The record is from RNAcentral.